CAGGGAAAGCCGAGCGGCCACCUAGCCGGCAGAGACCCACCGAGCGGCGGCGGAGGGAGCAGCGCCGGGGCGCACAAGGGCACCAUGGCCCAGACGCCCGCCUUCGACAAGCCCAAAGUAGAACUGCAUGUCCACCUAGACGGAGCCAUCAAGCCUGAAACCAUCUUAUACUAUGGCAGGAGGAGAGGGAUCGCCCUCCCAGCUAACACAGCAGAGGGGCUGCUGAACGUCAUUGGCAUGGACAAACCACUCACCCUUCCAGGCUUCCUGGCCAAGUUUGACUACUACAUGCCUGCUAUCGCGGGCUGCCGGGAGGCUAUCAAAAGGAUUGCCUAUGAGUUUGUAGAGAUGAAGGCCAAAGAGGGCGUGGUGUACGUGGAGGUGCGGUACAGUCCGCACCUGCUGGCCAACUCCAAAGUGGAGCCAAUCCCCUGGAACCAGGCUGAAGGGGACCUCACCCCAGACGAGGUGGUGGCCCUAGUGGGCCAGGGCCUGCAGGAGGGGGAGCGAGACUUCGGGGUCAAGGCCCGGUCCAUCCUGUGCUGCAUGCGCCACCAGCCCAACUGGUCCCCCGAGGUGGUGGAGCUGUGUAAGAAGUACCAGCAGCAGACUGUGGUGGCCAUUGACCUGGCUGGAGAUGAGACCAUCCCAGGAAGCAGCCUCUUGCCUGGACAUGUCCAGGCCUACCAGGAGGCUGUGAAGAGCGGCAUUCACCGUACUGUCCACGCCGGGGAGGUGGGCUCAGCCGAAGUAGUAAAAGAGGUGAGGGUCUGGGCUGGCCAUGGGGUUCCUCCUCACUGUCUCCUCCCACACUUGGCUCCAUUCUGCUUCUCUACAGGCUGUGGACAUACUCAAGACAGAGCGGCUGGGACACGGCUACCACACCCUGGAAGACCAGGCCCUUUAUGACAGGCUGCGGCAGGAAAACAUGCACUUCGAGAUCUGCCCCUGGUCCAGCUACCUCACUGGUGCCUGGAAGCCGGACACGGAGCAUGCAGUCGUUCGGCUCAAAAAUGACCAGGCUAACUACUCGCUCAACACAGAUGACCCGCUCAUCUUCAAGUCCACCCUGGACACUGAUUACCAGAUGACCAAACGGGACAUGGGCUUUACUGAAGAGGAGUUUAAAAGGCUGAACAUCAAUGCAGCCAAAUCUAGUUUCCUCCCAGAAGAUGAGAAGAGGGAGCUUCUCGACCUGCUCUAUAAAGCCUAUGGGAUGCCACCUUCAGCCUCUGCAGGGCAGAACCUCUGAAGAUGCCACCCCUCCAAGCCUUCG
RNAcentral lists this small RNA (1276 nucleotides) under Pongo abelii (Sumatran orangutan). Its description in RNAcentral is "processed transcript". The record is from RNAcentral. Lineage: Eukaryota; Metazoa; Chordata; Mammalia; Primates; Hominidae.